This is a long non-coding RNA of Polypterus senegalus (gray bichir), 1409 nucleotides long. RefSeq lists it as uncharacterized. Lineage: Eukaryota; Metazoa; Chordata; Cladistia; Polypteriformes; Polypteridae. The record is from RefSeq and is a predicted model, not a curated record. The transcript has 4 exons.
AUUUUUUUUUUUUAACCAGGUCAGUGGUCUAAUCUGCCUGCCUGAGAGUUAUUCUACAUUGAGUCACAUGACCACAAGGGUCUGCUUCUCGUGAUUUGUUGUAGAGUGGCGCACGUGGCACACCUCAGCAAAGAAUGUCUGAUGUACCACCAUCUGGCACGGAGAUUAACUUGAAAUCCGGCAUUUUGGCUUUCACCAAGGGCUGAUUGGAGUACAAAGAAAAGAAAAUGCCCCCAAGUAGCAAGCAGAAUUACUCAAGGAAUGUACGUUUCAGAGAGUAGUCUGCAAUUACCCAGCAUGUUGCACUUUACAAGGACAUCCUUAGCUCAUUUGCUGAAAAGCUAUGAACAGUUCGGCAUCUAAGAGUUACACCUCCUGAGAUUCAUGGAGCUUCUUUUUUUGGCACCAUUCAAUAAAAACUGUUUUUCACAGUCAUGGCCAUCUAUCUCAGCCGGCAGCAAGCUUGUUAAAGAAAAGGAACAUUUGACAUGGGGCUGUUCUGCAGGAGAUUAGCUGAAGGUUCCGUUAAAAUCUAACUCAAUUUGAAUCCAAGGCAACAAAGGAGCCCCCAAGGCUGAGCACAACUGCUUAAAAACAUCUGAACAGUUCUCAAAGGCCCUUCAGUUGGGAGGAAGCAGCACCAUCUGGAUAGAAACAGCAGUAAGGAAUACAUUUGGGAUGGUGUUACCUCUGACCCCACGUAAGGUGGAUCUGGAGACGUGGAUUUGUCUAGGCAAUGAAUGAGGCAGAUAAGAGUGUGUAAAAGGAGUAGUCGGUGCCCAGACAAAGCAGCAGCAUGGCCAAGGAAGAAGAUGACAUGACAACAGCCCUGUGAUCAAAUCAAACCACAAAGGAGCUCUGAAGGUCAAGCUGCAUGGGUGUGUUAUGUGUCAGGAAGUUAGGAGGAACCCAAGUCUGAGGAAGCAUUCCCAUUGAGGGCAUACAGGCCUAGAAUUGGUCAAUAAUCCCCACUUAAGCCUAAGUGUGAACUCUGUAAUUCAAAGUAUUUCAAGCUGAUUUCCUUUUUAUUUUCUUGAAGACAUUUAAGCAUUUAAGUGGAGUAAUGUUUGGUGGUUGUUCAGGAGUUUUGUAGUCUUUUCAAAAUAUUCACAAUGUGCACAUGGUAUAGACUGAAAAUCCUAAAAUGACUUGGCCUUAUGUGUGUGUCCUGUGAUGGAUGGCCCUCCCAUGCUGGCUUGGUUUUUGCCUUGUGUCCAAAGUAGAAUAAGGUUAAGAGAAUGGAUAGAAGGAUAAAUAUAAAAAUCUCAGAACCUCAGCCUGUGAAGAACAGUUUUAAAGACUUCACGCAUCCACCCAUCCUGUCUGAACAGAACAGGCCUUAUUUUUAAGCCAACAGAGGAGUGUUCAAAUGUAUGAUAUAUAGUGUUAGAAAGCUAAAUUUGGAUGAG